RNAcentral lists this long non-coding RNA (613 nucleotides) under Struthio camelus australis. RNAcentral's name for it is "lncRNA (ENSSCUG00000010752.1)". The record is from RNAcentral. Lineage: Eukaryota; Metazoa; Chordata; Aves; Struthioniformes; Struthionidae.
UCUUAAAACAAAAAAAAUGUCUUUAAAGUGCCCGAGGUGCCUAAGAAACCUGUUCCUGAAGAGAAAGUUCCUGUUCCUAAAAAGGUGCCAGCUCUACCAGCUAAAGUACCAAAGGUGCCUAAGAAAAUUGUUCCUGAAGAGAAGGUACCUGUUGCCCAGCCUGAAAAAGUGGACGUUCCAACUGCAAAAGUUCCUGAGGUGCCAAAAAGGCCUGUUGCAGAAGAGAAAGUGCCACCUGCUGUCCCUAAACCCAAAGAACCUCCACCAACUAAAGUGCCUGAAGUACCCAAGAAACUUGUCCGCAAAGAAAGAGUCCCUGCUCCUGCUCCUGCUCCUGCUCCUGCUCCUGUUCCUGCUCCUGCGGUGGAGAAAUAUGAGUAUAUAUAUGAGGAGUACGAGAAAUAUGAGACAUAUGACAGUACUGAAGACUUUGAGCAGGUUCAGGAAACUGAAGAAAUUGAGGCAUAUGAGGAAGCUGAAGAACCUGAGAGAUAUGAGGAAGUUCAGGAACAAGAAGAAUAUGAAGAGGAAGUUGAAGAAAGGGAAGCUAUCUAUGAAAAGUAUGAAUUUAAGGAGCAGGAAGAGAUCUAUGAGAAGCCUGAGGAGGUGUAUG